Molecule: ribosomal RNA, 516 nt
Filed under: uncultured bacterium
Lineage: Bacteria
Description: partial 16S ribosomal RNA
Rfam family: Bacterial small subunit ribosomal RNA
Source: RNAcentral
GACGAACGCUGGCGGCGUGCCUAACACAUGCAAGUCGAACGGAGUGUUUAUUUAUAAACACUUAGUGGCGAACGGGUGAGUAACGCGUAGACAACCUACCCUCUAGAUGGGGACAACACCGCGAAAGUGGUGCUAAUACCGAAUGUUGUAAUGUUGUUGCAUAAUGAUAUUACUAAAGGUGGCCUCUAUAUAAAAGCUACCGCUAGAAGAUGGGUCUGCGUCUGAUUAGCUAGUUGGUGAGAUAACAGCUCACCAAGGCAAUGAUCAGUAGCCGGUGUGAGAGGAUGAACGGCCACACUGGGACUGAGACACGGCCCAGACUCCUACGGGAGGCAGCAGUGGGGAAUCUUCCGCAAUGGACGAAAGUCUGACGGAGCAACGCCGCGUGAGUGAAGAAGGUUUUCGGAUCGUAAAGCUCUGUCUUCAAGGACGAAUGUAGAUAUUGUGAAUAAUGAUAUUUAAUGACGGUACUUGAGGAGGAAGCCACGGCUAACUACGUGCCAGCAGCCGCAGUAA